RNAcentral lists this long non-coding RNA (931 nucleotides) under Homo sapiens (human). RNAcentral's name for it is "non-protein coding lnc-CNTNAP3B-45:6". Lineage: Eukaryota; Metazoa; Chordata; Mammalia; Primates; Hominidae. The record is from RNAcentral.
CUGAACUCUGAUCUGCUUGAUGGCAAACUUAAAGCCCUUCCAUUGUUGCAUGCUUUUUGAAGGGAGAAAUGGGACACGUGUAAACUUGGGCCAGGACCAUGGGGUAGAUGGAAGAUGGGCGAAGAUAGAGUAUUGGAGUGGGAAGUGGCCAAGCAGGAAUGUUUCAAUCAUGGAAGAUUUCCUGAGAAAAGGGAUUCCACAUCAGGGUUCAGAUGGUAGGGGAAUGAGGAUAGGAAGUAAAGAAGAGGGAGGGAGCCAUGCAUUGACAAGGAAGGAGAAGAAAAAACAAUUUAUGCAAAGGCUGGGUCAGAGUAAUGGACAUGAGUUCAAUUUGCCUUGGGUUUGCCUUACCAUUUAUUGAAGGCAUACUAUGUACUAGGUACAUACAUGAUCACAUUUGAUGUUCACAACAGCCCUGACAAGUGGGUUUCAUUUUCCUCCCUCUGUUGUUACUGAGUUGGGGCUGCUCCCUCCUUUAUCAAUUCUCCCUUUUUAUCAUGAUUGCUAUGUUGGAAACUUGCUGACUCUUCAGACUAGGGGAUUCAGAUCCUUCCACAGUGGAAGGAAGGUCUGUGAAGACUCCAGGGUCGAGGGAAAGUUAUGUUCUUGGAGGUAUGACUGAGCCCAGAAUCCAGGCCUCCAGUGUCCAUCUCCUUGCCUGGCCCAUUUCAGUCUUCAGACAUGCUUUGAGGUCAAUCCAGUCACUCACCCAGCAACAGACACUGCCUCUGCCCUCAUGGACCUUGCAGUUCUAGUGGUGAGAGUAAGAUGAAUACAAGUGAACAAAAUGAUGGCAAGUUGUUCAAGCUUGUUCAAACUUCUAAACACUGUUCAAUGAAUGAAUGAACCAACAAGAACUUACUAUGUGCUCUGGAAAGAAAAUGUGAAAAAUGUCGAGUUGUAAAUCACUUUCUGCUACCGCUACCUUUCC